This is a long non-coding RNA of Gasterosteus aculeatus aculeatus (three-spined stickleback), 1844 nucleotides long. The record is from Ensembl. Lineage: Eukaryota; Metazoa; Chordata; Actinopteri; Perciformes; Gasterosteidae.
CUCUGGCAGGAGGGAAUGAGGUCAAUCCACAACCCUCCAACUUAACGCACAUCGUCUGUUGCAGAGGGGUUAGGAUUUCACUUUUUUAUUGUAUUUUGAAGGCCUAUCGGACGCUCUGUUGAGAUUUGAUUUUUGUGACCGAUACGUGAACAGUAUUGAUGUUUUGAGUGUUCCCAAAGAGAGAGACAUUACAUCACAACAAUUUGUCAGGUCAAUUCUUGCCACAUGUUUCUUUCCUGUAAAGGUCCACUUAGAUUACAGAUGGAAGCAAAGGUUGUUCAGUUUACAUUUUAAGGACAUUGCACGGUGAGGGAAGGAGCUUAACAACAACGUGGCAUCAGAUCAUCUGUGGUUACUUUCAUCCAGUCGAGCGCUAAUCUCACGUGGAUGAUUCGCUUAGAUCUCCUCCGGCCAUCCGGCCACAACUGCCGAUACGAUCAGAGCUGGGGAGCAGAUGCGAGGCUGGGAAACGGUGGCAGUUCACUGGAGUUGAAUUGUACCCCGGAGAGGAGGAAGUGAAGUUUUUCUAUCAGAUGGAAAGAUCAGAGGAGACGGAUAAUUCAGUAAUCACAUCUCCAGCGAUUAGGGGGGACAGGAGGCGGGUUGCCGAUAAGGAACUGUGGGCUUCACGGACGUUCUGUUCGGUUAAUAGGAAACCGAAAAAGACUCAACGCCUUAUUUUCCCAGUGGUAUCUGCUUCUUUUAUCACACCACUUUAUGAUUUCUCACCUUGUCUCAUUGGGUCGUCUGAUCUCAUCUCAUUUACUAAAGGGUCGGUGAACCUGUCAGCGAAUCAAAACCAACUUCUGUGUGUGCUUCAUCUGGGUACGGUUGUAUCUUCUCAUCUCGUCUCAUUCCUGAUGACUUACAUUAGUUUUUUGACCCAUCUCGUCCUCAUAAUCCUGUUUCAUUCAUGCGGUAACAGAUGAAAACAACGCCCAGGCCUAUAAAAAAUGAUCUUUUUGGUCAUGUUUUAUUCUCCAAAGAAAUGUCAACAUCCUGAGUAAGACAGCCUAACCCAAGGGACAAUAGUAGAAAUUGUUUAAAUAUAAAUCCUGGUGCUCCUUCUGUCACGGUUUGGGUUUGUUUCCUUUCUUAUUUUGUAGUUUUCUGCCUCUUGUGUCCCUGGGUAACUUCACUUCCUGCCUUGUCCUGUCAUCCCCUGUGAUUGUCUGAUUGUUUCCACCUGUGUCCAAUCACCUGCACCUGCACCAUGUGUAUUUAAGUCAUGUGUGUCGCUUGUCCCUUGUCGCUCAUUGUUGACUGUUUUGGAUGUUCCUGUCUGCAUUUUUUGCCCCUGGCCCUUUUGGAUUUUGACUAUUAAAGUCUUUUUGUUUUUGAAAGUCUGCGUUUGAGUCCUGCCUUCUCUGUCUGAACAAGACUUUUCAAGGAUUACUCAUAUUUUUCCACCUGAUGAACACUCCAUAUCCUGACAUCAUAUCUGUAAGUCACAAACCGUUGUCAAUGCCACCUGACGAGCAUGACGAGUCCUCUGACUCUCUCUAUCCAAGUGGGUAAAAGCCUGACGUGUAUAUGUGCACACGGACACACAAGCGCACCAUGUCUUGUUGGCCUGUGAGAUCUUAUCACGGACAUUGAAAUGAGAUGAGACAAUGUGAGUAUCUGCUUCCUGUGUUUGUGUGUGGUUGGGAUGCAUGGGUCUCAUGCAGUAUCAUGUUAAAGUUGAGCGUCUGCUGUCUGCAGAGUCGCCGUAGUUUUAAUUUGAUGCUUUUAUUUUGAAGGCUUGUAAAGUAUGUAAAAUCUUGAUAGAUUAAAUUAAGAAGACAUAAUAUUGCAAAUAAUGCAAAUCUUUUAAGAGAAAUUUAAUUUGCAUUAUUUGCAAU